RNAcentral lists this long non-coding RNA (1434 nucleotides) under Nasonia vitripennis (jewel wasp). RNAcentral's name for it is "uncharacterized LOC116416361, transcript variant X2". Lineage: Eukaryota; Metazoa; Arthropoda; Insecta; Hymenoptera; Pteromalidae. The record is from RNAcentral.
GCUGCGUCGCAGUGUAUGACCGAUUACGAAUUCUCGUAAAACGCUAAAACUGCCGUGUCCUGCAACCCUAAACCAGCGCCGAAAACUAUGUUUCAAAAUCGGCAUGGGCUGUAGCAGAACAACGCGCGCGCUCGUUCACCCGCAGCGCAGAGAGCCGAGAGAAAGAGAGAGAGAGAGAGAGAGAGAGAGCUGCGAGAGAAAUAUAAUAACCGCCGGCGCGGUUCUCGCGUUACCGCCGUCAGUUCUCCGAUUAUAAAGAGCGCGAACGGAGGCCUCUCUGCGCGCGUAUGCCUGUGUGUGUAUAUAUGUUUCAUCGGUAUGUGAGGUGCAGAGACGACGGCUAUCUGGAAUCGACGAUUCGACGGAGUGAUGAAGAGUGGAGACGACUGAAAAAAAUAAAUGAAAGACUGAUUUGUUGAUAUUAAUAUAUUUUUAACGAGUAAAUAUUUCGUACUUGUUGUUAUAAGCAUUUCGAAUAAAGAAUAUACCUCACAAUUGACUCACGUGCCUCCUUUUUGUUACAUGAAUUUUAAUUGAUUGCGAACUGGAAAUUUCCUACGAGGAGCUCGCAUCACGAAUCGUUUCCAGGCUCUGAAACAAACAGACCGUACCGUUAUAUAGGUGCACGAGGUUACGACAUACCUAUAGCUUUAUAAGACUUUUUCUGAAAUUGCGUACUUUGUGCGUUGCAUAAAAACUACCGCAGUCUUAAAUUUAGGGAAGAUAGGUAUCAGUUAACACGGAAUUUGUUCAGCAAACUUGCAAUUUUAUUGAUUUUUUUUACCUUUUCAUUUUAUAACGUGAGAACAAAUUAUAAAAUAUGUGAUUUUACAAUUCAAAUUAAAAACUUCAUAGGCUUACUCAAUCAAUAAUACUAACAUUAGAUUACUCAUACCCACGACCCUGUGUGUUACAUGGAUUUGAAAAGUGACUUGUUGCCGACUCUAUAUUUUCUUAUUUUUUGAUAUUCAAGAUGCAUAAAUCAUAAAGUUUUUAAAUACAAUUUUUUUUAAUAUUCACGUUAUACAAGGUGCGUAAUUCUGAUAGCAAAUGAAAUAUUUUGAUAUGGUGAAUGAAUCUGUGAUGAUUUAAAGUAACAUACUCAUUAUUUUUAUUGCAAUAUAUACAGAAUAUGCUAUUAAAUUGCGCAUCAUUCUGUGUGCUUUCUAUGCAUAUAGUUAAGUGUUAUACCAAUAUUAAGUCUAAGAUUAAUCAGAGUUUAUAUACGUUAGUUAUAAAUUUAACUUAGAAGCUCUUGCCGAGUAUCACCUCUAAUAAAAAUAAUUUUUACUAUUUACAGGGACAUUUUACAACAACCUAAGGCAAGCUAUCAAACUCCCGCUUCACACAAUACUUAGCAUACAAAUACAAAUGAUAAAUAUCGUCAAUAAUAUGCAUUUGCAAAAAUCAAUAGAAAAGUUUUUUCGUCGUGUA